This is a non-coding RNA of Camelus ferus (Wild Bactrian camel), 72 nucleotides long. The record is from Rfam. Lineage: Eukaryota; Metazoa; Chordata; Mammalia; Artiodactyla; Camelidae.
AAGGGUCUAGCUCAGUGGUAGAGUGCAUGCUUAGCAUGUGCAAGGUCCUGGGUUCAAUCCCCAGUACCUCCA